Long non-coding RNA from Lycium ferocissimum, 1921 nucleotides. RefSeq lists it as uncharacterized. The record is from RefSeq and is a predicted model, not a curated record. Lineage: Eukaryota; Viridiplantae; Streptophyta; Magnoliopsida; Solanales; Solanaceae. The transcript has 4 exons.
GUAUUUAAACUAACAACACAUUACAAUACAAUAGGUAACAACCAUCCAAACAAGCUGUAAAAGUCUUUUGAAAACGCCUUAAUCUUCUCUGCUUCCUCCCACUCGCUCGCUACGGUAACGCCUUAAUCGCUCUGAUUUCCUUUCUCCUCUUACAUUUUUGUCCCGCAUACCCACAACAGCCACAUCCUCUCUGAACAAGGCUCUGAGUUACUACUGCCCCAUAUUUGAGUGCCCAAACCUGCCACUCUCUCUGAAUGCCCAUGGACUUGGCUCCGAAACUUCAAGCUACUCUUUCCCCAACUUUGUUUUCCCCGUUAAUAUAUUUUUUUCAGUCAAAAUUCACUAUACUAUAUACGCUUACAUUGAUGUUUAAACUUCAUCACGAGGCUUUGCUUUUUUCCCCUCUUCAUUCAUGAGAAGUUAUCAUAGCUAGGAUAUUCUGCUAACUUUUUUGAAAUAAUUUGUGUCGGAUGAAGUACUCGGUAUUGGCACCGCUUGUGAGUCAUAAUAUGCACAUACUUUAUGAGCAAAAAUGAAAGCAAGAGGGACAUUGUAUGCAUAAUCAUUCUCCCACUUUUACUCUCGAAAAUAAUUGACCGCCGUCUAUGCAAAUCUAUAUCCCGCUACAGCACUGCCAAGAGUAAUAAUUGAAUCGUUGAUAAGACCAUCGAAUUUGAUCAAGUUAACAGACAAAGUAACUGGUAUGUACUUCUUACUGUUACGCGCCUCAUUCUUUAUCUACACCACUGUACGAGGAAAUGAUACGAUAAGAAUAAACAAAUGAUGUUGCAAAAUUUCUUUGUAUAUCAUUUUUUUAACUCCAAGAGAAAGUAAACAUUGGUAUGAUUAAUGCUGGUGAAAAUUAGAUUUUCAAUAGUGCAACAUUUUCUCCUUUUGCAAAACCCUUCCACUCCUCCGUUUGUUCUACCAAAAGCACAGACAACAAAAUCGAAUAGAGAGAAAGCUAUACCGAUCUGAAAAUACCCAAUUUUUCUUGAAAAAUUGUUUUUCCUGGUUAGUCUUUUUCACUAUCAAUAUGAUGAUUGACAAUGUAGGUUUGAACGUCCAAGUGCCUCCCACUUUAUGGUAAGCUACCUUUUGUUGUAAUCUUUUGUUUGAUAAUGAUGGUGUCAAUAACAAUUCUUUUGAUAAUGGUGAGGUCAAUUAUACAACUUUUCUGUAGAAUCUGUUAUACUACAAAUUACAUAGGUUCAUUGGAUUUUAAUUGAUAUCUAUAAAAUUAAACUUAAAUCUAUUUUGAUUAGCCCAAUCUCUUCGUAUGUUGUGAUAUUGUUCAGAUUGAUAGUGGAAAGCAACUUGGAAUUCUACAAUGGAACCUUUCAAAUUCUUGCAAAUCUGAACCUUUCAAUCAAGAAGGCUUACACCUUACUUCUCCUGUGAUGGUUGGUCGUUUAUGGACGGGACUAUUAAUUGCAUUAUCGUUAUAAAUCGCAAGUUGGUUGCAUAUCUUCUUGAUGAUGUCUAUGUGAGUAGGCUCCUGCCAAAUUUACCGUGUGCCAGGUUGGAACCGGAUAUGCUUGCAUUCUCCGGAUGCUAUUAUGGAGGAGGAUACAAGGAAAGGAGACAACUAGGUAAAAUACGAAAGAGGUAGAAGAUGUUAAAUGUGAGUCACUGCCUAUUUCACAAGGAGGAAUUGGCACCAUUCUCUUCCUUCUCUUCAAGAAUGGCUGCUUUAGAUUACAUUGUUUGUGAUGAGAGUGAUGAUUUUAUAUCCAAUAACUAUGGUAAUAUGGAAAGAAUGCUUGUUGGAAGAAUGAGAUAUAUCGAUGACAAGCCAACUAUCCGCCCAUAUGCGAAGAGUUGUUCCUUAAUCGAAAUAACAUGAGAUUGGAAGAGUUUGCCUCACAAGUUCGAUCUCAAAUAGGUUUCAUGGGCCAGCCAAUGGAGGUAAAGCCAGAUA